Molecule: long non-coding RNA, 326 nt
Filed under: Parus major (Great Tit)
Lineage: Eukaryota; Metazoa; Chordata; Aves; Passeriformes; Paridae
Description: lncRNA (ENSPMJG00000000446.1)
Source: RNAcentral
CUGGGUCCAGCUGCCUCCCAGGUUCCCUCCCCUACAAACAAUUUCAGGGGAGGUGAGAUUGCAUGACAAAUUCAAUUAGAGAUAAGCCUGAGGGGGGAAGAAGCUGUCAAAACAGAUGAUUAAAAUGAAUGCAGUUUACAGCCAAGGGAAGCAACCAGCAUUAAGUCAUGCCCAGAAGCAAGGGAAAAUAACAUGCUAGAAACUAAGAGAAACCAUGUAUGCUGUGCUACUUGUAAGAAAUGCAAAUGCCAGGACCUGGGAUAAAACAUUCUGGUAUGGAGAAACAGGAUGAUAAAAAGGCCUGGGCAAGUCUCUCUCACAGAGCA